GCCAGGCAUGGUGGCGCGUGCCUGUAGUCCCAGCUACUCGGGAGGCUGAGGCAGGAGAAUUGCUUGAGCCCAGGAGGCAGAGGUUGCAGUGAGACGAGAUCGUGUUAUUGCACUCCAGCCUGGGCAACAGAGUGAGACUCUGUCUCAU
This 148-nucleotide signal recognition particle RNA is filed under the name Nomascus leucogenys (northern white-cheeked gibbon). Its description in RNAcentral is "Metazoan signal recognition particle RNA". It matches the Rfam family "Metazoan signal recognition particle RNA". Rfam says of the family: The signal recognition particle (SRP) is a universally conserved ribonucleoprotein. It is involved in the co-translational targeting of proteins to membranes. The record is from Rfam by way of RNAcentral. Lineage: Eukaryota; Metazoa; Chordata; Mammalia; Primates; Hylobatidae.